GAGUUUGAUCGUGGCUCAGAUUGAACGCUGGCGGCAUGCUUUACACAUGCAAGUCGAACGGGGUGAGGGGGCAACUCCUCAUUCAGUGGCGAACGGGUGAGUAAUGCAUCGGAACGUGUCCCGUAGUGGGGGAUAACGCCGCGAAAGCGGCGCUAAUACCGCAUACGCUCUUUGGAGGAAAGCAGGGGAUCGCAAGACCUUGCGCCAUGGGGGCGGCCGAUGUCCGAUUAGCUAGUUGGUGGGGUAAGGGCCUACCAAGGCGACGAUCGGUAGCUGGUCUGAGAGGAUGAUCAGCCACACUGGGACUGAGACACGGCCCAGACUCCUACGGGAGGCAGCAGUGGGGAAUUUUGGACAAUGGGGGCAACCCUGAUCCAGCCAUGCCGCGUGCGGGAAGAAGGCCUCGGUUG
RNAcentral lists this ribosomal RNA (410 nucleotides) under uncultured beta proteobacterium. RNAcentral's name for it is "bacterial SSU rRNA". It matches the Rfam family "Bacterial small subunit ribosomal RNA", at positions 9 to 425 of the family's 1533-position model. The record is from RNAcentral. Lineage: Bacteria; Pseudomonadati; Pseudomonadota; Betaproteobacteria.